This 928-nucleotide ribosomal RNA is filed under the name bacterium CEV18(2011). RNAcentral describes it as "bacterial SSU rRNA". It matches the Rfam family "Bacterial small subunit ribosomal RNA", at positions 57 to 982 of the family's 1533-position model. The record is from RNAcentral.
GCAGUCGAGCGGUAACAGAUCUAGCUUGCUAGAUGCUGACGAGCGGCGGACGGGUGAGUAAUGCAUAGGAAUCUGCCCGAUAGUGGGGGAUAACCUGGGGAAACCCAGGCUAAUACCGCAUACGUCCUACGGGAGAAAGGGGGCUUCGGCUCCCGCUAUUGGAUGAGCCUAUGUCGGAUUAGCUAGUUGGUGAGGUAAAGGCUCACCAAGGCAACGAUCCGUAGCUGGUCUGAGAGGAUGAUCAGCCACAUCGGGACUGAGACACGGCCCGAACUCCUACGGGAGGCAGCAGUGGGGAAUAUUGGACAAUGGGGGCAACCCUGAUCCAGCCAUGCCGCGUGUGUGAAGAAGGCCCUCGGGUUGUAAAGCACUUUCAGCGAGGAAGAACGCCUGGCGGUUAAUACCCGCCAGGAAAGACAUCACUCGCAGAAGAAGCACCGGCUAACUCCGUGCCAGCAGCCGCGGUAAUACGGAGGGUGCAAGCGUUAAUCGGAAUUACUGGGCGUAAAGCGCGCGUAGGUGGCUUGAUAAGCCGGUUGUGAAAGCCCCGGGCUCAACCUGGGAACGGCAUCCGGAACUGUCAGGCUAGAGUGCAGGAGAGGAAGGUAGAAUUCCCGGUGUAGCGGUGAAAUGCGUAGAGAUCGGGAGGAAUACCAGUGGCGAAGGCGGCCUUCUGGACUGACACUGACACUGAGGUGCGAAAGCGUGGGUAGCAAACAGGAUUAGAUACCCUGGUAGUCCACGCCGUAAACGAUGUCGACCAGCCGUUGGGUGCCUAGAGCACUUUGUGGCGAAGUUAACGCGAUAAGUCGACCGCCUGGGGAGUACGGCCGCAAGGUUAAAACUCAAAUGAAUUGACGGGGGCCCGCACAAGCGGUGGAGCAUGUGGUUUAAUUCGAUGCAACGCGAAGAAUCUUUACCUACCCUU